GAUGAACGCUGGCGGCGUGCCUAAUACAUGCCAGUAGAACGCUGAAGGAGGAGCUUGCUCUUCUGGAUGAGUUGCGAACGGGUGAGUAACGCGUAGGUAACCUGCCUGGUAGCGGGGGAUAACUAUUGGAAACGAUAGCUAAUACCGCAUGACAACAGUUAUUGCAUGAUAACUGUUUAAAAGGGGCAACUGCUCCACUACCAGAUGGACCUGCGUUGUAUUAGCUAGUUGGUGAGGUAACGGCUCACCAAGGCGACGAUACAUAGCCGACCUGAGAGGGUGAUCGGCCACACUGGGACUGAGACACGGCCCAGACUCCUACGGGAGGCAGCAGUAGGGAAUCUUCGGCAAUGGACGGAAGUCUGACCGAGCAACGCCGCGGGAGUGAAGAAGGGUUUCGGAUCGUAAAGCUCUGUUGUAAGAGAAGAACGAGUGUGAGAGUGGAAAGUUCACACUGUGACGGUAUCUUACCAGAAAGGGACGGCUAACUACGUG
RNAcentral lists this ribosomal RNA (495 nucleotides) under uncultured bacterium. Its description in RNAcentral is "partial 16S ribosomal RNA". It matches the Rfam family "Bacterial small subunit ribosomal RNA", at positions 28 to 507 of the family's 1533-position model. The record is from RNAcentral.